UACGUGGGGACGAGCGUUGUCCGGAAUUACUGGGCGUAAAGGGCGCGCAGGCUGCGUUACAAGUCAGCUGUUAAAUGCAUGGGCUUACCCCAUGAGUGCGGUUGAAACUGUAGUGCUAGAGUACUGUAGAGGCAAGCGGAAUUCCCAGUGUAGCGGUGAAAUGCGUAGAUAUUGGGAGGAACACCGGUGGCGUAGGCGGCUUGCUGGACAGUAACUGACGCUGAGGCGCGAAAGCCAGGGGAGCAAACGGGAUUAGAUACCCGGGUA
Molecule: ribosomal RNA, 267 nt
Filed under: uncultured prokaryote
Description: partial 16S ribosomal RNA
Rfam family: Bacterial small subunit ribosomal RNA
Source: RNAcentral